GGCAAAGUGAGAAAAAUGCAUGAAUAAAGACAGUUUAAUAAGUGAAGAAGAAAGGAAAUUAAAAAAAAAGUGAUGCAAAGCCAGUCACUCACCACCUCUAACGAGCAGAUUGAUGCUCAGUCAGUCUAAGCAAUAGCUACUAUGAGAAAAUUACCCAUUUUAUUGCUGGACAUGAUGUUAUAUGAUGUGGAAUAUAUCUCUGGUCAAUUUGAAUCAGCUGUCCUGGCUGUAUCCCCUUCUUGUCUUGCCCAACUCCAACCUACUCACUGUGGGAGACAGAGUGAGAAACAGAAAACCUCGGCUCUGUGUAAAGAACUGUUCAGAAGUAGCUAAAGGACUGAUGUGUUAUCAGCACUGUUUUGGCCACAAAUAUAAAAAAAGAACUAUAUGGACUGCUGUGAAGAAAAUUAACUCAAUUCUAACCUGACCUAGUGCAAUCGCAAAAGUUAUCUUUGAUGUCUGUGUCCAGAACUCCAGUGCUGCUGCA
RNAcentral lists this long non-coding RNA (487 nucleotides) under Gallus gallus (chicken). RNAcentral's name for it is "long non-coding RNA NONGGAT004527". Lineage: Eukaryota; Metazoa; Chordata; Aves; Galliformes; Phasianidae. The record is from RNAcentral.